RNAcentral lists this long non-coding RNA (935 nucleotides) under Nicotiana benthamiana. RNAcentral describes it as "long non-coding RNA (NBEN_LNC026595)". Lineage: Eukaryota; Viridiplantae; Streptophyta; Magnoliopsida; Solanales; Solanaceae. The record is from RNAcentral.
CCCAAUGCCGUACAUACCAAAUUAAAACCCUAGAGAACAAUUCCUAUCAUCUUCCAUUCUUCUUCAUAACAUAACCAAGAUAACAAAAAACCCUAAGAAGACCAUAAGAGCCUAGUCGCCGCCCACCACUUUAAGCUGCCCGCCAGCGACUCUACAUGCUAGAAACAUGCACAAAAAACCACUAUCCUCCAUAGCUAGCAUCUACCCCAUCUUCUUCCACCCUAAACAUGAUCGAAAAAAACUACCACAAUAAGGGUUCGACCGUCGCUCAACUCAGCCCUAGCCAUCGCCGGCCAGUCCUAGCCAUCUUCAUCUACAAGACAAUGACCACCUCCUCCAUCUUCGUCAUGCCAAAAAACCAGAGAGAAGAACCAGUCGUCACUCUGAACAGCCACACCCCAGCCACAUAUUGAAGACCCUUCAGCUACCCAACACACGACCUUCUGACUGCUGACAGCUUCUUCUUCAAUCCUUGAACCUCCAUAGCCGCCACCUGCCACCCCGCUCCCUCCUUUUGAGAGCUACUGCUUCUUCACCUCCACCUUAACCUACUGCAAGACACACACAAGAAGACAAAUUGGAUAGAAAUAGAAUAAAAGGAAAACGAUAACACAACUUCUCAUUUGAUCGGUAAAGUCGUCAUUGAUGAAGAGAGUUGAGGUGUCAUUCAAGUUUGUUCUCGAGGUCCACAGAACAAUCUUCUACCAUUGUUGCAUUUUCAAUCAGAUUUAAUUCAUCAAAUUUUGCUGCAAAUAGUUCUCAUUAAUACUAUAUUUUCGAGGUCUAUCCUUUACUCUUUCCCUAUUUUACUGCUUGGUUCCAUGCCUAGUCUAUUUCGCUUGCCUGUUAUUGCUGUGAUUUGAGUAUUUUGUGUGUUUGCCAGAUUAAUGGAUGAAUGUCAUCCAUUUUAACAGCCAUUAUUUGUUAUGUUUGAC